GCAGACCCAAAGGGGAGGAUCAGACCUAAUAUGCCCCAAAACCCUAAUUCUGUGUUUUUUUCGUAAAACAGAACCCUUGUGCCUCCUUGAGCAGCCGCACUCUCCGUUAGGGUUUGCCUUCUCGCCGCUUCCAAGUCCGCUCAAGCUGUUUCUACUCCACCUCCUAAGAGUGCUCCUUGUUCUGUUGAGUCUGUGUCUACCAUCGAGGUCCCGUAUUAACCCUUUCCAGUGAGAGAUCUUGGUGGCACCUCAUCGGUUGGACGUAAUUCCAUGGACCUCUUAAGGGGAGUCCCUGGUGGUGCCUCGACAAAAGGACGUAAUUCCACGGGGGGUCGUGGUGGUGCCUCAGGGCCAAGGCGUAAUUCCACGAAGGCCACAUGGUGGUGCCUCCUUUAAGGGUAUAAUUCCGUGAAGGCCUCACGGUGACGCCUCAAUGCUAGGACGUAAUUCCACUGCCACAUGGUGGUGCCUCAGAUGUGAGAACUCCUGGUAGUGAUGAUGGUAAUAGGGAUGCUGCAGCUUGACGUACUGGACAGGUGUUGGGCCCACUGUGGGGCCCAUUACCGGCGGAUUCUAUUAUUUAUGUUUUCUUGUACGAACAAGACCUAGUAUUCUUAAUUGUGUUAUGUUCAGUAUAUUUCUGGUUGAGCCAUGUGAGGCUCCUUUUUCUUGUAAUCCGGCUUUUUGACGUGUUGUAUACAUUCCUACCCUAAACCCCGUACUCUCUGAUUAUUCA
This is a long non-coding RNA of Vigna unguiculata (cowpea), 736 nucleotides long. RefSeq lists it as uncharacterized. The record is from RefSeq and is a predicted model, not a curated record. Lineage: Eukaryota; Viridiplantae; Streptophyta; Magnoliopsida; Fabales; Fabaceae.